ACGCUCGACACCUACUGGAGGCAGCAGUGGGGAAUAUUGCACAAUGGGGGAAACCCUGAUGCAGCAACGCCGCGUGAAGGAAGACGGUUUUCGGAUUGUAAACUUCUGUUCUUAGUGAAGAUAGUGACGGUAGCUAAGGAGCAAGCCGCGGCUAACUACGUGCCUGCAGCCGCGGUAAUCUGAGCGGGCUGGCAAGGC
Molecule: ribosomal RNA, 198 nt
Filed under: uncultured bacterium
Lineage: Bacteria
Description: partial 16S ribosomal RNA
Rfam family: Bacterial small subunit ribosomal RNA
Source: RNAcentral